This 374-nucleotide ribosomal RNA is filed under the name Acanthodactylus bedriagai (Bedriaga's fringe-fingered lizard). Its description in RNAcentral is "partial 16S ribosomal RNA". It matches the Rfam family "Archaeal large subunit ribosomal RNA", at positions 2063 to 2639 of the family's 2987-position model. Lineage: Eukaryota; Metazoa; Chordata; Lepidosauria; Squamata; Lacertidae. The record is from RNAcentral.
ACUAGAAUGAACGGCUAAAUGAAGACUAAACUGUCUCUUGUAGGCUACCUAUGAAACUGAUCUUUUAGUCAAAAAGCUAAAAUUUUCCCACAAGACGAGAAGACCCUGUGGAGCUUAAAACCAAAAUCAUAUAAUGACCCUCUGGUUUUUAGUUGGGGCGACUUCGGAGUACAAAAAACCCUCCGACCACAGCACUACCUAAUAGAUCAACAAAUCAAAGUGCACUCAUGACCCAGUAACCACAGCUAACUGAUUAAUGAACCAAGUUACCCCAGGGAUAACAGCGCUAUCCUCUUCUAGAGUCCUUAUCGACAAGGGGGCUUACGACCUCGAUGUUGGAUCAGGACACCCUAAUAGUGCAGCCGCUAUUGAGG